GACAUAUCGAGUUAUAACCAAACCUAUGAAAAUUUCAGAGAAGAUUAGCAUGGCCCCUGCGCAAGGAUGACACGCAAAAUCGUGAAGCGUUCCACAUUUUU
RNAcentral lists this small nuclear RNA (101 nucleotides) under Danaus plexippus plexippus. Lineage: Eukaryota; Metazoa; Arthropoda; Insecta; Lepidoptera; Nymphalidae. The record is from RNAcentral.